CGAGCGGACAGAUGGGAGCUUGCUCCCUGAUGUUAGCGGCGGACGGGUGAGUAACACGUGGGUAACCUGCCUGUAAGACUGGGAUAACUCCGGGAAACCGGGGCUAAUACCGGAUGGUUGUUUGAACCGCAUGGUUCAGACAUAAAAGGUGGCUUCGGCUACCACUUACAGAUGGACCCGCGGCGCAUUAGCUAGUUGGUGAGGUAACGGCUCACCAAGGCGACGAUGCGUAGCCGACCUGAGAGGGUGAUCGGCCACACUGGGACUGAGACACGGCCCAGACUCCUACGGGAGGCAGCAGUAGGGAAUCUUCCGCAAUGGACGAAAGUCUGACGGAGCAACGCCGCGUGAGUGAUGAAGGUUUUCGGAUCGUAAAGCUCUGUUGUUAGGGAAGAACAAGUGCCGUUCAAAUAGGGCGGCACCUU
This 425-nucleotide ribosomal RNA is filed under the name Bacillus sp. (in: firmicutes). RNAcentral's name for it is "bacterial SSU rRNA". It matches the Rfam family "Bacterial small subunit ribosomal RNA", at positions 63 to 481 of the family's 1533-position model. The record is from RNAcentral. Lineage: Bacteria; Bacillati; Bacillota; Bacilli; Caryophanales; Bacillaceae.